UACGUAGGGUGCUAGCGUUGCUCGGAAUCACUGGGCGUAAAGCGCACGUAGGCGGCUUUUUAAGUCAGAGGUGAAAUCCUGGAGCUCAACUCCAGAACUGCCUUUGAUACUGGAGAGCUUGAGUCCGGGAGAGGUGAGUGGAACUGCGAGUGUAGAGGUGAAAUUCGUAGAUAUUCGCAAGAACACCAGUGGCGAAGGCGGCUCACUGGCCCGGUACUGACGCUGAGGUGCGAAAGCGUGGGGAGCAAACAGG
Molecule: ribosomal RNA, 253 nt
Filed under: uncultured bacterium
Lineage: Bacteria
Description: partial 16S ribosomal RNA
Rfam family: Bacterial small subunit ribosomal RNA
Source: RNAcentral